CCCCACCUUAGAGUUUGAUNCCUGGCUCAGAGCGAACGCUGGCGGCAGGCCUAACACAUGCAAGUCGAACGGACCCUUCGGGGUUAGUGGCGGACGGGUGAGUAACACGUGGGAACGUGCCUUUAGGUUCGGAAUAGCUCCUGGAAACGGGUGGUAAUGCCGAAUGUGCCCUUCGGGGGAAAGAUUUAUCGCCUUUAGAGCGGCCCGCGUCUGAUUAGCUAGUUGGUGAGGUAAAGGCUCACCAAGGCUACGAUCAGUAGCUGGUCUGAGAGGAUGACCAGCCACAUUGGGACUGAGACACGGCCCAAACUCCUACGGGAGGCAGCAGUGGGGAAUCUUGCGCAAUGGGCGAAAGCCUGACGCAGCCAUGCCGCGUGAAUGAUGAAGGUCUUAGGAUUGUAAAAUUCUUUCAGUAGGGACGAUAAUGACG
This 430-nucleotide ribosomal RNA is filed under the name Brevundimonas sp. G7. RNAcentral describes it as "bacterial SSU rRNA". It matches the Rfam family "Bacterial small subunit ribosomal RNA", at positions 1 to 456 of the family's 1533-position model. Lineage: Bacteria; Pseudomonadati; Pseudomonadota; Alphaproteobacteria; Caulobacterales; Caulobacteraceae. The record is from RNAcentral.